AAACUUUGCAAUGUGCGAAAGCACGACAAGGUUAAUCCGAGUGGUCUCUGCUAAAGGGACCUUUUGACAGUCCUAAAAACACUGUUGAAUAAGGGGUGGGCAAGUUCUGGUGUCAGCCGCCGCGGUAAAACCAGCACCUCAAGUGGUCAGGAUGAUUAUUGGGCCUAAAGCAUCCGUAGCCGGCUAUGCCAGUUUUCGGUUAAAUCCAUGCGCUUAACGUAUGGGCUGCCGGGAAUACUACAUAGCUAGGAAGUGGGAGAGGUAGACGGUACUCGGUAGGAAGGGGUAAAAUCCUUUGAUCUAUUGAUGACCACCUGUGGCGAAGGCGGUCUACCAGUACACGUUCGACGGUGAGGGAUGAAAGCUGGGGGAGCAAACCGG
RNAcentral lists this ribosomal RNA (381 nucleotides) under uncultured archaeon. Its description in RNAcentral is "bacterial SSU rRNA". It matches the Rfam family "Archaeal small subunit ribosomal RNA", at positions 345 to 727 of the family's 1478-position model. The record is from RNAcentral.